GAGAAGUAACAAUUAAGAUAAACAGAGUUAUAGGAAUACAAAAUAACGAUUUUGAAUUUUACAGUAUAAAACAGAACGAGAUGGUGUUGUAGAGACCCGAGUGGAAAGGAAGAUUACAGUCACAAGUGAUGAAAAUGAUGAGUGCGACCAUGAUGCUUUGUUAAGGGCAGCCAUACAAGAAGUGGUACUCAUGAAUCAAGAUUUAUCAGUAGAAAAAAUAGAGUGUAUGCGACAGAUAGAAGAAGUGAAUGGCAACUGAAAGAUUUAAAUGUACUGCAGCAAGCCUUUGGUGAUACAGAUGCAAUAACUCAAGCUUUCAUGUGCUUUCGAACAGUGACAAAGAUAGCCACCAAUGAGUGCCUAUACAUUUUCAUAUAAAUAUAGACAGCCAAUCAUAUUUAUGCUUCACAAUAUUAUCAUCAGUGAUGUCAGAAGUGACAUCAUCAGUGACACGUGAUGUCACAACAUUAUCAGUGAUGUCAUAAGUGACAUCAUCUACACCAGGAACUUGUAAAUAGUGAAAGGAAUAAAGUAGUGUUUUGUGCAGAUUGAGAUAAUGGGAUGUGAAGUACCAUAUGUGAAAUGAACAAUAGAAUUUUAAAAGGUUGAAUGCAAUGGAUUGAAGACUAGGCUUGGAAAAAUGAAGUGUCUAUAAUGUUGGUGAAAAGAAUGAUUUUGGAUAAAAAUGAAUAUGGGAUGACAUUGCUUUACAUUAGUAAUGAAGUGUUAAGGAAUGUUAAUGUUAACAGGCACAAGUAUAGAUAGGUAAAUUGGGAAAUUGAGUUGGAUAAAUCAAACUGGUGUUGUAGUUUAUCCUUUGGUUUAUAAAUGAAUGUUGCUUCAGUAAUAUGAUUUUUCGAGUUUUUAAUUUGAAUUGUUUUUCAUUGACAGCUGAAAAUGGUUGUAGCUUAAAUAUGUAGAAUUGCAACUUGUAUAUUUUGAAUUAUUAUGGGUUCUUUUAUAUUACCAAUCUUUACAGUUAUACUAUAUAUGUACUACAGCCUUUUGUUGAGUUGUUGGGUCCUUUUCGCAGAAGCAACAUUUAUUUUUGCCAAAAGCAUGUUUACCGAUAAAUUUAUGAAACCUUCCACCCCUUUUGUUUGUGUCAUUGUCAAGACGAUGUAUAGGAAAGGGGAGUUCAUUUCAGGAAAAAAGGGUUGACAGGAUUACCAACUGUCUCAUUCCAUUAAUGAAAAAUAGCUUCAUUUUUAUCUUCAGUCUGUGAAAUGGAAAAAAAAACUCGACCUUUGUGUUGCUAGGUUGAAGAGGAUUUAUUAGCAAUAAUUUUACAUCACUUGUAAGAACUACAUAUAAUAUAGAAAUAAGUAAAAACAUCUGUAAGUUUCAAAUAGUUUGUUUGGAUAUUUUUUAUUUUAAUGCAUUUGGUCACACAUUCUCCUAUAAAUAAGAAAUUGUGUAUUCUGCAACUGUAUUCAUCAUCAUUUUGUAUUGUCAGUUAAUAUUUUUUAUUUUAUAAGAUUAUAUUCCUUGGUUGUGAGAGAGAAUUUUUUUCUAUAUUUGUUAUCAGAAAAAUGCUUAUGCUAUUUUAUUUCAUAGAUAAAUUUACAUAACGCUUGAUUUUGGCAUAGUGUUAAUAGUUUUAGACCUUCGUCCCCUAUUUUAAGGAAUGGAAGAGUCCAUAUCAUAAGUAAGAGGAGUCCACAGGAGGUAAUUGGGGAAGAUGGGGUAGUAGUAUGCAGAAAAAAAAGUGUGACUGGUACUAAAGGUGACCUUUGACUGUUUUACUGUGUUUUUUUUAGAAUUUUAAUUUUGUUACAUAAUUAUUUACUUUUAUGCUGCUUUUAUUUUUUAUCUCCUAAAACUGAUUUCCCCCCCUGCUUUUUACUCUGUUAAAAUCAGUUUUACCAACUAAUUUGUAAAGCAUGGACUUGCCUUGUAGGAUUGUCGAUUGUUUAUGUAAUCUGCAAAACUGAUAAAUAUUAAAGGCAUUAUUCCUAAUAUUAAGAAGUGAUAUCGUUAUACUACUAAAUUACAACGUGUAAUAAAUUAAUAUGAAAAGUGUAAAAAAUGUACUACAAGAAUCUGUAUGUCUAUUAUUUGAUGUAGCAUAAUGAAAUAACUUAAUUAAAGUUUAAAAUUUGUACUUGUUGAAAUAUUGUUCUGUUGUUUGUUUAUACAUCCAUUUUUUUUUCGCAGUAAAACUGUAUCAAUGUAAAUUAUUUAAAUUCAGUUUUAUAUUUUAUAUCAUUUUAAAGGUAUACUGUUCUUUUCAGUAGUGAAUAAUUUAUAUACACAGUAUAUACCAGAUGGACUGAAUUGGGCAAAUAAAAAGUGCUGGUUAGAAUAACAGUGUACAGUUGCUAGAUAUUGGAAAAAAACUAAUUUUAAAGGAUCUCACAUCUUGUAAAAUCUUGCUACUUGUACCAGAUAUAAGCUAGAUGACCGACACAAAUUAGUAUUCAUUAACUCGAUUUUUUUUUUUUUUUGUAAACUUCAUUUAUAUACUUAUUUUUUUCAUUCAGAUAAGUCUAUGAUUUGAAAAAUUAAGUUUUGAACUAUUUCACUGCCAUUGAAAUAAUCUCAAGAAAAGGGAAGGCUUAUGACCUUCAUCAUGUGAGAAUUAACCAAGAGUAGUGAAGUCCUAAUAAUCUAAUUAUUUCCUGCCAUUUUUGCCUCUUGUAGCAGAGCCAAGCUUCUAUUUUAGUUAGUUUUUAGAAAAAUGCCUUCGCAAAAGCUUCCGAAACUGGAUUUUUUUUACAGUUGAAGUGUGUUCAGCUACAAGCAAGGACAAUAAAGAAAGAAUUUAUAGAGGAUAUUAAAUUUUGUUUGUUUGAGUGUUAGAUUGAAAUAUCUGUCAUAAGUGAACACUAGCAAUACUUCCACAAGUGGCCAGGAGUGAAAAUGUUAGAUAUGGUGUUCAUGAGUGAAAUAAUAUUUUGAUCUGACAUGUAAAACAAACAUGGUUUCUUUUCAUUACAUGUUUUGACUAAAUUAACCCAUUUUAUAGUUUCUUUUCGCUAAUAAUUAACUGAAAACCAUGUAAUAAAUAUGAUUUAAUCUAGCCGCAGCAAACUGAGGGAAUCUGUCUACUGAAAUAUCUUGCUUGUUGUGGUUUACAAGACAGUCGGCAGUUUACAUUGAUCAAACAUCCAACUGUUACUGGAUGGUCGCAUUUCGGAAUAGAUGCGAUAGCCUUUCCUUAACACUAAACAGCUACACAUUGUUAAACUUUUGAUUAUGUUACACUUAAAUGCAGUAAAUUAUGUAAUGAUUUAUUUUCCAUUGCUUAGAUAACUCAUAGCUAUAAUUUUAAAUAAAACACUGAAAGAA
Long non-coding RNA from Mercenaria mercenaria, 3291 nucleotides. RefSeq lists it as uncharacterized. The transcript has 3 exons. Lineage: Eukaryota; Metazoa; Mollusca; Bivalvia; Venerida; Veneridae. The record is from RefSeq and is a predicted model, not a curated record.